This 253-nucleotide ribosomal RNA is filed under the name uncultured bacterium. RNAcentral describes it as "partial 16S ribosomal RNA". It matches the Rfam family "Bacterial small subunit ribosomal RNA", at positions 524 to 776 of the family's 1533-position model. The record is from RNAcentral.
UACGAAGGGGGCUAGCGUUGCUCGGAUUGACUGGGCGUAAAGGGCGCGUAGGCGGUUCGUACAGUCAGACGUGAAAUUCCUGGGCUCAACCUGGGGGCUGCGUUUGAUACGUGCGGACUUGAGUGCGGAAGAGGGUCGUGGAAUUCCCAGUGUAGAGGUGAAAUUCGUAGACAUUGGGAAGAACACCGGUGGCGAAGGCGGCGACCUGGUCCGAUACUGACGCUGAGGCGCGAAAGCGUGGGGAGCAAACAGG